CUGGCGGCGUGCCUAACACAUGCAAGUCGAACGAGAAAAUGGAGCAAUCCAUGAGUAAAGUGGCGACCGGGUGAGUAACACGUGACUAACCUACCUCCGAGUGGGGAAUAACUCCGGGAAACCGGGGCUAAUACCGCAUAACAUCGCAAGAUCAAAGCAGCAAUGCGCUUGGAGAGGGGGUCGCGGCUGAUUAGCUAGUUGGCGGGGUAACGGCCCACCAAGGCGAAGAUCGGUAUCCGGCCUGAGAGGGCGCACGGACACACUGGAACUGAAACACGGUCCAGACUCCUACGGGAGGCAGCAGUGGGGAAUUUUGCGCAAUGGGGGAAACCCUGACGCAGCAACGCCGCGUGGAGGAUGAAGCCCUUUGGGGCGUAAACUCCUUUCGACUCGGACGAUAAUGACGGUACGAGUGGAAGAAGCACCGGCUAACUCUGUG
Molecule: ribosomal RNA, 439 nt
Filed under: uncultured bacterium
Lineage: Bacteria
Description: bacterial SSU rRNA
Rfam family: Bacterial small subunit ribosomal RNA
Source: RNAcentral